AUGCCACAUAUGAUUGCUCUUACUUCUGUCCUUUUUGGCCCACACCAGAUGCCACAUAUGAUUGCUCUGACUUCUUUCCUUUUUGUCCCGCAGCGCUCUACUGCACCCAAAGAUGAUUCAAAAGGGAGCAGCUGCGGCGAGAGUCCCAGCGCCGACCGCAACCCUAGCCUAAAUCAGAACACGCCGGCUAACGCUUCCGGAGGGGGUCGCAGUCGCGGCCAAGGCCGCUGCCGAGGCGCGGCGCGACGCCCGUUCACGACCCUCAGCCAGGUCCACGCUGACCUCCAGGAGCAGGAAAUUUUGGCAAGAUCUCGCUGCCCCAGCCGUCCCGAGAGGGCGUACAUGAUGCUGCAGAUGAACGAAGGUGGCGAGGGCAGCGAUUAUGGGACCUCGGAGGCCGGGAGCUACGAGCAUGAGCAUGAGGAGGAGCUGGAGCACCACCACCGCGUUCACCACCAGGAGCACCCGGUGGCAUCCAUGGUGAUGGGGAUGAUGAUCUCAAGGCUGAGGGUGAGGGCUACCUACGAGGAUGAAGGCGAGGACGAGCUCUCCGAGGCUUUGAAGAGGAGGGGUUCAAUUAGGAUGAGGAGGUGCAGGACGGAUGACACUGAGCAUAGAGAUCAUACUGUUGAUCUAGAUGAGUACUCUUAUGAGGCAAUUGCAUUGGGUGAAGUGGUUGGUACAGAAAGUAGAGGUGUCUCUGCUGAUACACUUGCUUCCUUAGCUUCUGUAACUUACAACACAAAAGAUAUGCAAGAUGACAACACAGAACAAUGUGUAAUUUGUUUGAGGGCAUUUGAGAAAGGUGAAUCCUUGGUUGCACUUCCCCGCAAGCAUUCAUACCAUCCCGACUGCAUUAUUCAGUGCCGUCAAACAAUUAAGUUAUGUAGUGUUCUGUACAAGAAAUCAACAUUUACUCCUGCCUUAUUAGGUUCUACGUGUAUAUACUGA
This 951-nucleotide ribosomal RNA is filed under the name Triticum aestivum (bread wheat). Its description in RNAcentral is "partial small subunit ribosomal RNA". The record is from RNAcentral. Lineage: Eukaryota; Viridiplantae; Streptophyta; Magnoliopsida; Poales; Poaceae.